RNAcentral lists this ribosomal RNA (2135 nucleotides) under Lactiplantibacillus plantarum. RNAcentral's name for it is "bacterial LSU rRNA". It matches the Rfam family "Bacterial large subunit ribosomal RNA", at positions 1 to 2137 of the family's 2925-position model. The record is from RNAcentral. Lineage: Bacteria; Bacillati; Bacillota; Bacilli; Lactobacillales; Lactobacillaceae.
UGAGGUUAAGUUAACAAGGGCGCAUGGUGAAUGCCUUGGCACUAGGAGCCGAUGAAGGACGGGACUAACACCGAUAUGCUUCGGGGAGCUGUACGUAAGCUAUGAUCCGGAGAUUUCCGAAUGGGGCAACCCAGCAGUUUUAAUCAACUGUUACCACUAGAUGAAUUCAUAGUCUAGUUGGAGGUAAACGCUGUGAACUGAAACAUCUCAUUAGCAGCAGGAAUAUAAAGAAAUUUCGAUUCCCUAAGUAGCGGCGAGCGAACGGGGAACAGCCCAAACCAAAGUGCUUGCACUUUGGGGUUGUAGGACUGAACAUUUGAGUUACCAAAGAACUUGAUAGUCGAAGGAUUUGGGAAAAUCCGCCAUAGAUGGUGAUAGCCCAGUAGAUUAAAUCAAAUUCUCUCAGUUCAGGAUCCUGAGUACGGCGGAACACGUGAAAUUCCGUCGGAAUCCGGGAGGACCAUCUCCCAAGGCUAAAUACUACCUAGUGACCGAUAGUGAACCAGUACCGUGAGGGAAAGGUGAAAAGCACCCCGGGAGGGGAGUGAAAUAGUUCCUGAAACCAUGUGCCUACAAUAAGUCAGAGCGCGUUAAUGCGUGAUGGCGUGCCUUUUGUAGAAUGAACCGGCGAGUUAUGAUCCCGUGCAAGGUUAAGACUAAAAAGUCGGAGCCGUAGCGAAAGCGAGUCUGAAAUGGGCGUUUUGAGUACGAGAUUAUAGACCCGAAACCAGGUGACCUAUCCAUGUCCAGGUUGAAGGUGCGGUAAAACGCACUGGAGGACCGAACCCGUGUAAGUUGAAAAUUGCUGGGAUGAGGUGUGGAUAGCGGUGAAAUUCCAAACGAACUUGGAGAUAGCUGGUUCUCUCCGAAAUAGCUUUAGGGCUAGCCUCGGAAUUAGGAUCAUGGAGGUAGAGCACUAUUUGGACUAGGGGCCCGUCUUGGGUUACUGAAUUCAGAUAAACUCCGAAUGCCAUUGAUUCAUAUCCGGGAGUCAGACGAUGAGUGAUAAGAUCCACCGUCGAAAGGGGAACAGCCCAGACCAUCAGUUAAGGUCCCUAAAUGUAUGCUAAGUGGAAAAGGAUGUGGAGUUGCAUAGACAACUAGGAUGUUGGCUCAGAAGCAGCCACCAUUUAAAGAGUGCGUAAUAGCUCACUAGUCGAGUGAUCCUGCGCCGAAAAUGUACCGGGGCUAAGCAUACUACCGAAACCAUGGAUGCGACUAUUAGGUCGCGUGAUAGGAGAGCGUUCUAAGGGCGGUGAAGCAAGAUCGUGAGGACUUGUGGAGCGCUUAGAAGUGAGAAUGCCGGUAUGAGUAGCGAAAGAUAGGUGAGAAUCCUAUCCACCGAAUGACUAAGGUUUCCUGGGGAAGGCUCGUCCUCCCAGGGUUAGUCGGGACCUAAGUCGAGGCCGAGAGGCGUAGACGAUGGAUAACAGGUUGAGAUUCCUGUACUAGUUAAGUGCGUUUGAGCAAUGGAGGGACGCAGGAGGCUAAGAUGUGCAUUCUGUUGGAUUAGAAUGUCCAAGCAGUAAGUCUUGUGAAGAGUCAAAUGCUUUUCACUUUAAGGACAAGCUGUGAUGGGGAGCGAAAUUUAGUAGCGAAGCGUCUGAUGUCACACUGCCGAGAAAAGCUUCUAGUGAGUACUUAACUACCCGUACCGUAAACCGACACAGGUAGUCGAGGAGAGAAUCCUAAGGUGAGCGAGUGAACUCUCGUUAAGGAACUCGGCAAAAUGACCCCGUAACUUCGGGAGAAGGGGUGCUGAUCGCAAGAUCAGCCGCAGUGAAUAGGCCCAGGCGACUGUUUAUCAAAAACACAGGUCUCUGCAAAAUCGUAAGAUGACGUAUAGGGGCUGACGCCUGCCCGGUGCUGGAAGGUUAAAAGGAUGGGUUAGCUUCGGCGAAGCUCAGAAUUGAAGCCCCAGUAAACGGCGGCCGUAACUAUAACGGUCCUAAGGUAGCGAAAUUCCUUGUCGGGUAAGUUCCGACCCGCACGAAAGGCGUAACGAUCUGGGCACUGUCUCAACGAGAGACUCGGUGAAAUUAUAUUGUCCGUGAAGAUGCGGACUACCCGCGACAGGACGGAAAGACCCCAUGGAGCUUUACUGUAGCUUGAUAUUGAGUGUUUGUACAGCUUGU